UAGGGAAUCUUCGGCAAUGGGGGGAACCCUGACCGAGCAACGCCGCGUGAGUGAAGAAGGUUUUCGGAUCGUAAAGCUCUGUUGUUAAGGAAGAACGAGUGUGAGAAUGGAAAGUUCAUGCUGUGACGGUACUUAACCAGAAAGGGACGGCUAACUACGUGCCAGCAGCCGCGGUAAUACGUAGGUCCCGAGCGUUGUCCGGAUUUAUUGGGCGUAAAGCGAGCGCAGGCGGUUAGAUAAGUCUGAAGUUAAAGGCAGUGGCUCAACCAUUGUAGGCUUUGGAAACUGUUUGACUUGAGUGCAGAAGGGGAGAGUGGAAUUCCAUGUGUAGCGGUGAAAUGCGUAGAUAUAUGGAGGAACACCGGUGGCGAAAGCGGCUCUCUGGUCUGUAACUGACGCGGAGGCUCGAAAGCGUGGGGAGCGAACAGG
RNAcentral lists this ribosomal RNA (429 nucleotides) under Bacteroidota bacterium. RNAcentral describes it as "Bacteroidetes bacterium partial 16S ribosomal RNA". It matches the Rfam family "Bacterial small subunit ribosomal RNA", at positions 355 to 776 of the family's 1533-position model. Lineage: Bacteria; Pseudomonadati; Bacteroidota. The record is from RNAcentral.